Molecule: transfer RNA, 73 nt
Filed under: Candidatus Nealsoniibacteriota bacterium
Lineage: Bacteria; Candidatus Nealsoniibacteriota
Description: tRNA-Arg
Rfam family: tRNA
About the family: Transfer RNA (tRNA) molecules are approximately 80 nucleotides in length. Their secondary structure includes four short double-helical elements and three loops (D, anti-codon, and T loops).
Source: RNAcentral
GCGCUCGUAGUUCAAUGGAUAGAAUGCAAGGUUGCGGACCUUGAGAUUGCAGGUUCGAGUCCUGCCGAGCGCA